AACUGUAUAUAUCACUUAAAAUAAGUAUAGACAUAAUCUUAUAAUUUAGUGUUUGUAUAAGUACUUUAUACAAAUGCAUAUGACUGUGCGUUGAUAUGUACAUCUACGCUAAUAACUUUAUAAAUAUGUACAUAUAUGCUAAUAACUGUAUAAACUUAUCUAGAAAUGUAUGUAUGAACUUAUCAUUGCGUAAGGAUGCACAUGUGUGCGCAUAUCGAUGUAUAUAUAACUGAUAGCAAGUAUAAACACACGUAUAAACAUCAUUGUACAUAAAUCAGUGUACAUAUACACAUUAAUAGCUGUAUAAACAUCAUUAGUGUAUCUAUAUAUAGUCAUAUAUGUUAAUGUAUAUAUAAAUGUAUAUAUUAGUGCAUUAUAGAGAUACAGUUAUGCACUUUGCACACACACACAUGAAUGUAUUUUUUAAACACUAAUAACUGUAUAUAUAGCGGAUAAAAAGUGUCUAUAUGGUCGUAUUUAUCAAUCAGUUUAUAUAGAAAUGUAUGUAUGCACUAUCAAUGCGUAAGGGUGCAUGUGUGUGCAUAUCAGUGUAUAUGUAACUGAUAGUAAGUUUAUACAUACACACAUAAACAUAUCAGUAUAUAUGUAUCUUAUAUAUACAUGCUGUAUAUAUCUAUAUAAACUGCUAAUAAAUGUCUCUAUGAUCAUAUAUAUUAAUAUAGAUAGAAUGCAUGUAUUAGUGUACACAUACAAGACAUUAGUUAUUUGCUAUAUAUAGAGGGUUAUUAGUGUGUAAAAAAUACAUUGAUGUGUGCGUGAUGUCUGUUUAUAUACGAUGUGUAUAUACUGAUAUGUAUGUAUAAAGUGCAUAAUUGUUUAUAUACAGUGCACUAAUAUAUACUUUUUUAUGGACAUUUAAGUAUAUGGCUAUAUAUACACUUACUAUCAUUUUAUACAGUUACUAACGUAUAUGUAUACUGAUUUAUGUACUACACACACACUUAGACUCAAACUCACAUUCACACAUACACACACACACACUCACACACACUCUCACUCUCACUCUCACUCACUCACACACACACUCACACUCACACUCACACUCGCACUCGCACUCGCACUCACAAUCGCACUCACACUCGCACUCGCAGAUAUAUAUACUACACAUAUAUGCGUAUUGUGUAUGGAUUGAUGUGUGCAUAUAUAUGAUAUGUAUAUACUGAUAUGUUUAUGCGUGUAUGUAUACUUUUGCUUGCAGUUUUUGUAUAAACUGAUAUAAGUACAUUGAUAUAUAUAUAUGCACACUCAUAUGUACGUGUAUAAAGGGUUUAUAUAUACACUAAUGUAUAAGACCAUGUAUUAUUAUUAUCAGUGAUAUAUACAAUUAUUAGAAUAAUUUGUGUACGUAUGGAUGUAUAGCAAUAUAUAUCAUUAUUUUCGGUGUAUAUACAGCUAUUUAUGUGUAAAAAAUACAUUGAUAUGUGUGUGUGUAAUGUUUGUAUAUAUUCGAUGUGUGUAUACUGAUAUGUGUGUGUGUAAAGUGCGUAACUGUAUCGAUACAAUGCGCUAAAAUAUAUAUUUCUAUAUAUAUUGAUGUAUCAGUUCAUACAGUUAUUAACGUAUAUGUACAUGAAUUUAUAUAUUACACACACACUCACUCACACUUACACUCACACUCACCACUCACUCAUACACACACAUAUAUACACUCACAUUCACACUCACACUCACACUCACUCAUACACACUCACAAAUAUAUAUACUACACAUGUUUACGUAUUGUGUAUGGACUGUAUGUGAAUAUAUACGAUGUGUUUAUAUUGAUAUGUUUAUGCGAGUAUAUGUACAAUUGCUUGCUUUCAGUUAUAUACAAUUAUCAAUGUAUAUAUACACAAAUAUGCACACGCCCAUGCACCGUUAUGC
RNAcentral lists this long non-coding RNA (1884 nucleotides) under Amborella trichopoda. RNAcentral's name for it is "long non-coding RNA (ATRI_LNC001014)". The record is from RNAcentral. Lineage: Eukaryota; Viridiplantae; Streptophyta; Magnoliopsida; Amborellales; Amborellaceae.